This 52-nucleotide transfer RNA is filed under the name Colius striatus (speckled mousebird). It matches the Rfam family "tRNA", at positions 21 to 71 of the family's 71-position model. Rfam says of the family: Transfer RNA (tRNA) molecules are approximately 80 nucleotides in length. Their secondary structure includes four short double-helical elements and three loops (D, anti-codon, and T loops). Further hydrogen bonds mediate the characteristic L-shaped molecular structure. tRNAs have two regions of fundamental functional importance: the anti-codon, which is responsible for specific mRNA codon recognition, and the 3' end, to which the tRNAs corresponding amino acid is attached (by aminoacyl-tRNA synthetases). tRNAs cope with the degeneracy of the genetic code in two manners: having more than one tRNA (with a specific anti-codon) for a particular amino acid; and 'wobble' base-pairing, i.e. permitting non-standard base-pairing at the 3rd anti-codon position. RNAcentral also lists the same sequence under 1 other name. Lineage: Eukaryota; Metazoa; Chordata; Aves; Coliiformes; Coliidae. The record is from Rfam by way of RNAcentral.
GCGCGUCAGUCUCAUAAUCUGAAGGUCCUGAGUUCGAGCCUCAGAGAGGGCA